Non-coding RNA from Phoenix dactylifera (date palm), 1860 nucleotides. NCBI's taxonomy places the organism in Eukaryota, Viridiplantae, Streptophyta, Magnoliopsida, Arecales, Arecaceae. The record is from RefSeq and is a predicted model, not a curated record.
UUAUGAAUGUUGAAUUGGAAUGAUUUUAGAAGCCUUUUGAAGUAUUAAUUCUUGAGUAAGCCUUUUGAAUUAUGACUAUACAAUGUCUUAUUCUAGUCCUAUACAGGCUUUGGAGGUGGAUGACUUAAAGCUGGGAGAUAUUGGUCCAAAAUUUGAGCACCAUGAGAUGUUCCCCUCUCGUAUUGAUACAAGUUGCUAAAAUAUUUUCUUCGAUAUUCAUAUUCUUUUUCUACAUUGGACAUUACUAUGACUAUUGAAGUCCUGUAAAUAGUUUUGGAUGUGUUCUUAGUGUGAAAUCAUAAGCUACUUGUUUUGUUUCUUGGAGCAGUCUUGGUUUAACUUUUUCCUUAAAAAAAAAAUUCUUCGCACAUAGUUCAUAAUGAAAUUAGAAAAGUUGACAACUUGGUGUGCCAUACCGACAUGUACCGACUAUACCACACCGUGCUGGUAAAGUACCGGUAUGAUACUGACUUUCGGUUCAGUAUAUGAGUUGAACUGGUCCAUACCAUUCCGAACCAAGUGGAAUCACUCUGUACCUCGUAUCGGUAAAAUACCGGUAUGCUACCGAAUUGGUAAAGUACUGGUUACAGGUCGGUAAAGUACUGGUACUGUAUGGGUAUGCAUCCAUCAUAAUAUGCGGUGUCUGAUAUUGCAUUUAAUUUUAUUUCCAUUUUAAUGCUUCAAUGCUUUUGCAUAUCCUUUAUUUUCUAUAAUGAGAUUCUUUAUGUGAGCAAUGUUAACUGAUCAGUGUAAGUAGGCAUAUUAUAGUUCUCCGUCACAUGCUUGACUGCAUGCCUAUCUGCAGCUGUUGUGGUUUGCUUUCAUCCAUAAAGGCUAUGGUGGUGCUGUUCACCUUUGCACACACUAAAGAGCAGUAGCAUAUAGAAUCCCUUUUUUGGUUUCCUUGAUUGAAUUCUUUGAUCAUCUAUUUUGCAGAAUUUGUGCAAGUCUUCUCUCGUUCACACCUAAAAAUGCGUGUAUGGGAACAUGGUGCAGGAGCAACUCUAGCCUGUGGGACCGGAGCUUGUGCAGUUGUUGUCGCGGCAGUUCUAGAGGGCCACACUGAAAGGACAUGCAUUGUUGAUUUGCCUGGUGGGCCACUGGAGAUUGAGUGGAGGGAGGAAGACAACCAUGUUUACAUAGGCCCUGCAGACACAGUGUUUUAUGGAUCUGUCCCCCUUUAGCUCAGCAAUUUGGAUUAGUUUCUAAGACCUUUGCUUCAAGAAGAGAUGAUAAUGAGUCCAAUUGAAAGGCCCUGCUCUGUAAUUGCGGGCUGCAGGAUGGUCUCCUCCUUUUUAUGGAAAAGAACUCAGAUUGAGCGGGCACCAGGACCACCUCGUUCACUUACCUGUUAUAGCAUUUAUUAGUAUCAUCUAAAGGGCAAUGACAGGAUGACUACUACAUUCAGCUGCAUUUUCUGAGGAUUUUGGUCGGUAUGUUUAUUGCAUCUGUUAGGGAUAAAUUCGAAAGACAGGCUUAUCAGGUUGUUUAGCAAGAUUCUGCAGCCAUAUGACCUGGAAUGAAGGAGCUCGGUUGCACAGGAAGUAUAGAUACUGAUCGAUUGUUUAACGUGAGAAAUGCCACCAGGAAACCCAACUGCAGUCGCUAUCAGGCUUCUCAGCAAACAGGUUCUUCAAGGGGUUGAUUAAUUCCAGAUAGGGCUUGGGGCCAUGGUUAAAUGGAAGAAAAGAAAAUCUUAAAACUAUUCAGUAAGUUAGAUACCGUAACUAAUGUUCUUGAACAUUAUCUUUCUCCUUUAUUGGUUUGCUUACCAUGUAAUAAAUUACAUCAACUGUUGGAAUACAUUAAGGAACCAAGUCCUUCAUGUGGCUAUUAAAUGGAGAGACAGUUGUGGUUUAA